RNAcentral lists this transfer RNA (72 nucleotides) under Tursiops truncatus (common bottlenose dolphin). RNAcentral describes it as "tRNA-Arg (TCG) (tRNA-Arg-TCG-5-1)". It matches the Rfam family "tRNA". Rfam says of the family: Transfer RNA (tRNA) molecules are approximately 80 nucleotides in length. Their secondary structure includes four short double-helical elements and three loops (D, anti-codon, and T loops). The record is from RNAcentral. Lineage: Eukaryota; Metazoa; Chordata; Mammalia; Artiodactyla; Delphinidae.
GACCACGUGGCCUAACGGAUAAGCGUCUGACUUCGGAUCAGAAGAUUGAGGGUUCGAAUCCCUUCGUGGUUA